RNAcentral lists this ribosomal RNA (902 nucleotides) under uncultured bacterium. RNAcentral describes it as "bacterial SSU rRNA". It matches the Rfam family "Bacterial small subunit ribosomal RNA", at positions 28 to 918 of the family's 1533-position model. The record is from RNAcentral.
AUUAACGGCGCUGGCGGUAUGCUUACACAUGCAAGGUCGAACGGUAACAGGCAAAGCUUGCUUUGCGCUGACGAGUGGCGGACGGGUGAGUAACGCGUGGGAAUCUGCCUUAUAGUGGGGGAUAGCCCGGAGAAAUCCGGAUUAAUACCGCAGACGCCCUAGGGGGGAAAGUUGGGGAUCUUCGGACCUGACGCUAUUGGAUGAGCCCGCGUUAGAUUAGCUUGUUGGUGGGGUAAUGGCCUAGCAAGGCAACGAUCUAUAGCUGGUCUGAGAGGACGAUCAGCCACACUGGGACUGAGACACGGCCCAGACUACUACGGGAGGCAGGCAGUGGGGAAUAUUGCACAAUGUGCGCAAGCCUGAUGCAGCAAUACCGCGUGUGUGAAGAAGGCCUGAGGGUUGUAAAGCACUUUCAAUCGUGAAGAAAAGUUGUUGGUUAAUAACCUUCGACCUUGACAUUAUCGAUACAAGAAGCACCGGCUAACUCCGUGCCAGCAGCCGCGGUAAUACGGAGGGUGCAAGCGUUAAUCGGAAUUACUGGGCGUAAAGCGUACGUAGGCGGUUAUUUAAGUCAGAUGUGAAAGCCCCGGGCUUAACCUGGGAACUGCAUUUGAAACUGGCAAGCUAGAAUAUGGUAGAGGGGGGUAGAAUUUCUAGUGUAGCGGUGAAAUGCGUAGAUAUUAGAAGGAAUACCAGUGGCGAAGGCGGCCCCCUGGAGCCAAUAUUGACGCUGAGGUACGAAAGCGUGGGUAGCGAACACGGAGUUAGAUACCCUGGUAGUCCACGCCGUAAACGAUGUCAACUAGCCGUUGGGACCUUGAGGUCUCAGUGGUGCAGCUAACGCGUGAAGUUGACCGCCUGGGGAGUACGCCGCAAGGCUAAAACUCAAAUGAUCGAUGCGG